Molecule: ribosomal RNA, 446 nt
Filed under: uncultured bacterium
Lineage: Bacteria
Description: partial 16S ribosomal RNA
Rfam family: Bacterial small subunit ribosomal RNA
Source: RNAcentral
GUAGGGAAUAUUGGACAAUGGGGGGAACCCUGAUCCAGCCAUGCCGCGUGGAGGAAGACUGCCCUCUGGGUUGUAAACUCCUUUUAUAUGGGAAGAACCGUCCUCAUUAAUGAGUGACCUGACGGUACCAUAGGAAUAAGCACCGGCUAACUCCGUGCCAGCAGCCGCGGUAAUACGGAGGGUGCAAGCGUUAUCCGGAGUCACUGGGUUUAAAGGGUGCGUAGGCGGAUAAAUAAGUCAGUGGUGAAAUCAACGGUCUCAACCUGUUAACUGCCAUUGAUACUUUGUAUCUUGAAUAUGAGAGAGGUAGGCGGAAUGUUGCAUGUAGCGGUGAAAUGCUUAGAUAUGCUACGGAACACCGAUUGCGAAGGCAGCUUACUAUUUCGUAAUUGACGCUGAGGCACGAAAGCGUGGGUAGCGAACAGGAUUAGAAACCCGUGUAGUCC